This 253-nucleotide ribosomal RNA is filed under the name uncultured bacterium. Its description in RNAcentral is "partial 16S ribosomal RNA". It matches the Rfam family "Bacterial small subunit ribosomal RNA", at positions 524 to 776 of the family's 1533-position model. The record is from RNAcentral.
UACAGACGGUCCAAACGUUAUUCGGAAUCACUGGGCUUAAAGGGCGCGUAGGCGGCCUGAUAAGUAGGGGGUGAAAUUCCGUGGCUCAACCACGGAACUGCCUUCUAGACUGCCAGGCUUGAGCACGGUAGAGGCAGAUGGAAUUCCCGGUGUAGCGGUGGAAUGCGUAGAGAUCGGGAAGAACACCAGUGGCGAAGGCGGUCUGCUGGGCCGUUGCUGACGCUGAGGCGCGAAAGCUAGGGUAGCAAACGGG